Small nucleolar RNA from Cavia porcellus (domestic guinea pig), 102 nucleotides. It matches the Rfam family "Small nucleolar RNA U13". Lineage: Eukaryota; Metazoa; Chordata; Mammalia; Rodentia; Caviidae. The record is from Rfam.
AUCCUUCAGUUCUUGAGCAUGAUGACUGGGUGUUCACACUGUAUGCGUGAGAUGUGCCUCCCUCAAGCCUUGUUAUGACGUCAGCACAUUACCCAUCUGAUU